AAAGGAAUUGACGGGGACCCGCACAAGAGGUGGAGUAUGUGGUUUAAUUCGACGCUACGCGAAGAACCUUACCUGGGCUCGAACGACUGGUGGUAGCAUUUAUGAAAAUAGAUGUGACCCGCAAGGGAGCCAGCCGAGGUGCUGCAUGGUUGUCGUCAGCUCGUGUCGUGAGAUGUUGGGUUAAGUCCCGCAACGAGCGCAACCCCUAUCCUGUGUUGCCCAGCAAUGGGAUCUCUCAGGAGACUGCCGCGGAUAACGUGGAGGAAGGUGGGGAUGACGUCAAAUCAUCAUGGCCUUUAUGUCCAGGGCUACACACGUACUACAAUGGCAUAGACAGAGGGCAGCAAUACCGCAAGGUGGAGCCAAUCCCUAAACUGUGCCCCAGUUCAGAUUGUAGGCUGCAAUUCGCCUACAUGAAGCCGGAAUCUCUAGUAAUCGCAGAUCAGCACGCUGCGGUGAAUACGUUCCCGGGUCUUGUACACACCGCCCGU
This 491-nucleotide ribosomal RNA is filed under the name uncultured bacterium. Its description in RNAcentral is "bacterial SSU rRNA". It matches the Rfam family "Bacterial small subunit ribosomal RNA", at positions 903 to 1397 of the family's 1533-position model. The record is from RNAcentral.